UGAAAUUUGUAAGUUUACAUCAAUCUAUUAGGUGGAAAGGGUCGUCCCAGAAGGAAAAACUAUUUUCAGAGCUGGAGAAAGUGUGACAGUCGCCUGCACUGAAAAAACUUGGUUUAGUUCAAAAGAAACCAGCAAAACAUUUACAUGUCAAGAUGAUGGGCAGUGGGACUCUUAUCCUGGUUGUGAAGUGAUUACAUGUGAAUCUCCACCUAUACAGCAUGUAUCCACCUACUUUUGGAGGACGAUGAAACUGGAAGAAACAAAAUAUCUUAUAACUGUGAUUCUGGUUAUUAUAAGAAGGCAGAAGUGGGCACAUGGACACGAGAUGGACUGACACGAAAACCCCUGUAUAUCCCCGAAAUCGUCUGUGCAGCUCCUGAUCUGCCAAAUGCAAAAAUCACAAGAGGUCUAAAAUCAAAGUACAAACUCAAUUCAGCAAUACAAUAUCAAUGUCCCCCAGGAUUUGAACCACAUGGCACUGUACAAAUCACCUGUUUGUCCUCGGGUCAAUGGUCAGACAUACAGCAAUGCACUGG
This is a non-coding RNA of Danio rerio (zebrafish), 536 nucleotides long. Lineage: Eukaryota; Metazoa; Chordata; Actinopteri; Cypriniformes; Danionidae. The record is from Ensembl.